UACAGCCAUAUCACGUUGAAACACCGGUUCCCAUAAGAUCACCGAAGUUAAACAACGUCGAACCUGGUCAGUUCCUAGAUGGGUGACAGUAUGGGAAUAUCAGUUGCUGUAU
Molecule: non-coding RNA, 112 nt
Organism: Acanthosepion pharaonis
Lineage: Eukaryota; Metazoa; Mollusca; Cephalopoda; Sepiida; Sepiidae
Source: the annotation of a GenBank genome assembly